AAGAUCCCUGAAAGAUGAUCAGGUUGAUAGGUCUGAGGUGGAAGUGUGGCGACACAUGGAGCUGACAGAUACUAAUCGAUCGAGGACUUAACCUA
Molecule: ribosomal RNA, 95 nt
Filed under: Bacillus licheniformis
Lineage: Bacteria; Bacillati; Bacillota; Bacilli; Caryophanales; Bacillaceae
Also listed under: 1 other name
Description: 23S rRNA. Bacterial LSU
Rfam family: Bacterial large subunit ribosomal RNA
Source: RNAcentral